UGGGGAAUAUUGGACAAUGGAGGAAACUCUGAUCCAGCAAUUCUGUGUGUGUGAAGAAGGUUUUAGGACUGUAAAACACUUUUAGUAGGGAAGAAAAAAAUGACGGUACCUACAGAAGAAGCAACGGCUAAAUACGUGCCAGCAGCCGCGGUAAUACGUAUGUUGCGAGCGUUAUCCGGAAUUAUUGGGCUUAAAGGGCAUCUAGGCGGUAAGACAAGUUGAAGGUGAAAACCUGUGGCUCAACCAUAGGCUUGCCUACAAAACUGUUGAACUAGAGUACUGGAAAGGUGGGUGGAACUACACGAGUAGAGAUGAAAUUCGUAGAUAUGUGUAGGAAUGCCGAUGAUGAAGAUAACUCACUGGACAGAAACUGACGCUGAAGUGCGAAAGCGAGGGGAGCGAACAGG
This 407-nucleotide ribosomal RNA is filed under the name Verrucomicrobiota bacterium. RNAcentral describes it as "Verrucomicrobia bacterium partial 16S ribosomal RNA". It matches the Rfam family "Bacterial small subunit ribosomal RNA", at positions 355 to 776 of the family's 1533-position model. The record is from RNAcentral. Lineage: Bacteria; Pseudomonadati; Verrucomicrobiota.